UCUAUUCUAUUGUCAGUAAGUUUAAUUUUAAGUAUCCUUACCUUAUUUUACAUCUCAAGCAACAUGUUUGAAUAAUACUUGAAGGUUUCAGAUUUCUUCAUUCGCGCUUCUCGAAUUCUCUUACCAAGAGGAACUGCAGUAAAGAGGAAAGCUUUAGCUUGGAAUUUUCUUCUUCUCUUUGUGGAGUUCGAUCUGAGCUAUGGCGGGAUUUUCUAGUAGAGGAGGUGGUUCAACAGCAGGCGGAAUUGAUCAGUGAUAG
Nicotiana tabacum (common tobacco) is the source of this 259-nucleotide long non-coding RNA. RefSeq lists it as uncharacterized. NCBI's taxonomy places the organism in Eukaryota, Viridiplantae, Streptophyta, Magnoliopsida, Solanales, Solanaceae. The record is from RefSeq and is a predicted model, not a curated record.